GACGAACGCUGGCGGCAUGCUUAACACAUGCAAGUCGAACGAGAAUCUGUGGAUCGAGGAUUCGUCCAAGUGAAGCAGAGGACAGUGGCGGACGGGUGAGUAACGCGUGAGGAACCUGCCUUUCAGAGGGGGGACAACAGUUGGAAACGACUGCUAAUACCGCAUAACGCGUAGAGGUCGCAUGGCCUUUACGCCAAAGAUUUAUCGCUGAAAGAUGGCCUCGCGUCUGAUUAGCUAGUUGGUGAGGUAACGGCCCACCAAGGCGACGAUCAGUAGCCGGACUGAGAGGUUGACCGGCCACAUUGGGACUGAGAUACGGCCCAGACUCCUACGGGAGGCAGCAGUGGGGAAUAUUGGGCAAUGGGCGCAAGCCUGACCCAGCAACGCCGCGUGAAGGAAGAAGGCUUCGGGUUGUAAACUUCUUUGUCGUAGGAAGAGUAGAAG
This 444-nucleotide ribosomal RNA is filed under the name uncultured bacterium. Its description in RNAcentral is "bacterial SSU rRNA". It matches the Rfam family "Bacterial small subunit ribosomal RNA", at positions 28 to 455 of the family's 1533-position model. The record is from RNAcentral.